GCUAUACAUGCAGUCGAGCGGACAGAUGGGAGCUUGCUCCCUGAUGUUAGCGGCGGACGGGUGAGUAACACGUGGGUAACCUGCCUGUAAGACUGGGAUAACUCCGGGAAACCGGGGCUAAUACCGGAUGCUUGUUUGAACCGCAUGGUUCAAACAUAAAAGGUGGCUUCGGCUACCACUUACAGAUGGACCCGCGGCGCAUUAGCUAGUUGGUGAGGUAACGGCUCACCAAGGCAACGAUGCGUAGCCGACCUGAGAGGGUGAUCGGCCACACUGGGACUGAGACACGGCCCAGACUCCUACGGGAGGCAGCAGUAGGGAAUCUUCCGCAAUGGACGAAAGUCUGACGGAGCAACGCCGCGUGAGUGAUGAAGGUUUUCGGAUCGUAAAGCUCUGUUGUUAGGGAAGAACAAGUACCGUUCGAAUAGGGCGGUACCUUGACGGUACCUAACCAGAAAGCCACGGCUAACUACGUGCCAGCAGCCGCGGUAAUACGUAGGUGGCAAGCGUUGUCCGGAAUUAUUGGGCGUAAAGGGCUCGCAGGCGGUUUCUUAAGUCUGAUGUGAAAGCCCCCGGCUCAACCGGGGAGGGUCAUUGGAAACUGGGGAACUUGAGUGCAGAAGAGGAGAGUGGAAUUCCACGUGUAGCGGUGAAAUGCGUAGAGAUGUGGAGGAACACCAGUGGCGAAGGCGACUCUCUGGUCUGUAACUGACGCUGAGGAGCGAAAGCGUGGGGAGCGAACAGGAUUAGAUACCCUGGUAGUCCACGCCGUAAACGAUGAGUGCUAAGUGUUAGGGGGUUUCCGCCCCUUAGUGCUGCAGCUAACGCAUUAAGCACUCCGCCUGGGGGAGUACGGUCGCAAGACUGAAACUCAAAGGAAUUGAC
Molecule: ribosomal RNA, 885 nt
Filed under: Bacillus subtilis
Lineage: Bacteria; Bacillati; Bacillota; Bacilli; Caryophanales; Bacillaceae
Description: bacterial SSU rRNA
Rfam family: Bacterial small subunit ribosomal RNA
Source: RNAcentral